This 292-nucleotide ribosomal RNA is filed under the name uncultured bacterium. RNAcentral describes it as "partial 16S ribosomal RNA". It matches the Rfam family "Bacterial small subunit ribosomal RNA", at positions 505 to 796 of the family's 1533-position model. The record is from RNAcentral.
GUGCCAGCAGCCGCGGUAAUACGGAGGAGGCAAGCGUUAUCCGGAAUUAUUGGGCGUAAAGCGUCCGCAGGUGGCAAUUCAAGUCUGUGGUUAAAGACUGGGGCUUAACCCUGGAAAGGCCAUGGAAACUGAAUAGCUAGAGUGCAGUAGGGGUAGAGGGAAUUCCCGGUGUAGCGGUGAAAUGCGUAGAGCUCGGGAAGAACAUCGGUGGCGAAAGCGCUCUGCUGGACUGCAACUGACACUCAGGGACGAAAGCUAGGGGAGCGAAUGGGAUUAGAUACCCCAGUAGUCC